Long non-coding RNA from Silurus meridionalis, 618 nucleotides. RefSeq lists it as uncharacterized. NCBI's taxonomy places the organism in Eukaryota, Metazoa, Chordata, Actinopteri, Siluriformes, Siluridae. The transcript is spliced from 3 exons. The record is from RefSeq and is a predicted model, not a curated record.
UAAACUUUGACACCAGCCAACCACCUCACUACACUGUGUUUGGUUCUGUAUGUGAAAAACCUUCAAUUUGAAUUUUGAUUAUAAAUGUAGUUAGCAUUGUUGCUGUUUCAGGGCUGAUGCUGACAGAGAAGAUGGCUCUUUAGGGAGACUUGUCAAUGAUGAUGUGAACCCCAACAGCAAAAUAAAGAGUGGAUGGAAAGCCCCAUCUCUGCUUAUUUGCACUAAGGGAUAUAAGUCCUGGGGAAGAGAUUACUGAUAACUACAGAGAUUCUGACUGGCCAUGGAGAAGCAAGGUAACUGCUGAGCUGGAACAACAAAAGUUGUAGCCAGCUGUGCAGCAGGAGAUGAAACCGAGAGGGUUGUUCUGAAUGGUGUGCCAGUGAGCAGAAGGCGGUGCCGUGCCGGAACUCAUCUGUUCGUGUGUAAAAUACCGACUUCGCCCUCACACUGUCGAAGUUACUCUUGAACCGCUUCCUAGAGUCAUCCAUCUGCAGUUUGAAGUCUUUGAACUCCUUCCUCUUCCCUGGGAAAUAUUCUGCAAUCUUUUAAGUCAGACUCCACCCCAACAAUAGAUUUAAUUAAAUCUAGCUCUGCUCCUGGAGCUGGAGCUGAAUCCCA